RNAcentral lists this ribosomal RNA (219 nucleotides) under uncultured bacterium. Its description in RNAcentral is "partial 16S ribosomal RNA". It matches the Rfam family "Bacterial small subunit ribosomal RNA", at positions 104 to 334 of the family's 1533-position model. The record is from RNAcentral.
CGGGGUGAGUAACACAUGGGCAACCUACCCCACAGUGAGGAAUACCGGCGAGAAAUCGCCGACAAGACCGCAUAGGCUUCGAAAGAAGCAAAGUCGCAAGACGCUGAGGGAUGGGCCUGUGGCCGAUUAGCUAGUUGGUGGGGUAAAAGCUCACCAAGGCGACGAUCGGUAGCUGGUCUGAGAGGAUGAUCAGCCACACUGGGAUUGAGAACGGCCCAG